RNAcentral lists this ribosomal RNA (431 nucleotides) under uncultured bacterium. RNAcentral describes it as "partial 16S ribosomal RNA". It matches the Rfam family "Bacterial small subunit ribosomal RNA", at positions 29 to 507 of the family's 1533-position model. The record is from RNAcentral.
AACGAACGCUGGCGGCAGGCUUAACACAUGCAAGUCGAGCGCCCCGCAAGGGGAGCGGCAGACGGGUGAGUAACGCGUGGGAACGUACCUUUUGGUUCGGAACAACUCCGGGAAACUGGAGCUAAUACCGGAUAAGCCCUAACGGGGCAAGAUUUAUCGCCGAAAGAUCGGCCCGCGUCUGAUUAGCUAGUUGGUGAGGUAACGGCUCACCAAGGCGACGACCAGUAGCUGGUCUGAGAGGAUGAUCAGCCACACUGGGACUGAGACACGGCCCAGACUCCUACGGGAGGCAGCAGUGGGGAAUAUAGGAAAAUGGGCGCAAGCCUGAUCCAGCCAUGCCGCGUGAAUGAUGAAGGCCUUAGGGUUGUAAAGCUCUUUUGUCCGGGAAGAUAAUGACUUUACCGGAAUAAUAAGCCCCGGCUAACUUCGUG